AUUGAACGCUGGCGGCAGGCCUAACACAUGCAAGUCGAGCGAGCGGCGGACGGGUGAGUAAUGUAUGGGGAACUGCCCGAUGGAGGGGGAUAACUACUGGAAACGGUGGCUAAUACCGCAUACUAUCGGAUGUACCCAUAUGGGAUUAGCUAGUAGGUGGGGUAACGGCUCACCUAGGCGACGAUCCCUAGCUGGUCUGAGAGGAUGACCAGCCACACUGGGACUGAGCAACGGUCCAGACUCCUACGGGAGGCAGCAGUGGGGAAUAUUGCACAAGGGGCGCAAGCCUGAUGCAGCCAUGCCGCGUGUAUGAAGAAGGCCUUAGGGUUGUAAAGUACUUGCAGCGGGGAGGCGUUACUCGCAGAAGAAGCACCGGCUAACUCCGUGCCAGCAGCCGCGGUAAUAC
RNAcentral lists this ribosomal RNA (406 nucleotides) under uncultured bacterium. Its description in RNAcentral is "partial 16S ribosomal RNA". It matches the Rfam family "Bacterial small subunit ribosomal RNA", at positions 30 to 526 of the family's 1533-position model. The record is from RNAcentral.